Gallus gallus (chicken) is the source of this 1002-nucleotide long non-coding RNA. Lineage: Eukaryota; Metazoa; Chordata; Aves; Galliformes; Phasianidae. The record is from Ensembl.
AUAAAAGGGAAGGGACAAAGUUUUAAAGGAUAAAUGCUGGACACUGGCAAGCAAUGGUGUAUGCUCAUGAGGAGAGAAAACUGAAAUGAAUGGAUCUUGGCUUGAAAACUCACACUCCACUUCUGUUGACCAAAACAUGAGAGAUAAAAAAGUACAUUUGUUCCUAAUUCAAGUGGGAUAUUUCCCAGGGAGUUUCAUGGUACCAUCCUUUCAACCGGCAGUCAGAUUUCUGCAAACGUUCUGAUAAUCACUUAAGCUGAGUUACUGCUCUUUUGAUUGGGUCUGCAUUAUAUUUUUCUGGAACUGACCUGCAAUGCAUACUGAAACACCCAAAGAAGUCCUCUCUUGUAAUAAGAGAAAUGAAAACAUUACCAAAGUGUGACAAAGUCUAUGUGGGGUUACUGUUCUGACAUCCUUGUAUGCAAAGACAAGAUCAAAAUCAGUGAGGAGAUGAUGUGGUUUUCAGUGCUGAGACUCUUCUUUCUGAGCAAAACAUGGAACAGAGGAAAUCACAUCAGAGGAAGUGAUGUUUCGGCACUGAACCAAAAUGAGUGUGAUGAGGCUGGUAAUGGUUGUGCUAACCAGGAGUUUCUGCAGGUACAGAGACGCGCUUCCCAGUGUGCUGUUUCCUUGAAGCCUGUACACAGUCAUCAUCUCUAAGCAGAAAUGCACAGAGUCAUCACUUUUUUGUGGAAAUAAAAAUACCAGUGGAAUAGCAAUCCAGCUAGUGGCAGGUAAGCUUGUCUUUUCAGGUGCCCAAUAGCAAGGAUACUCUUGAAUCUGCUUGGCAUAAGCCUCAGCUCUAUCUUGGGAUAUGCGGUGGGUAUGUGAAUACAUGUAGCAAUGUUCAUGCUGGCUGUGAGAGCAGUCCUGGGAACUGGAAGGCUAUCUUAGGACUGCUAAUAUGCACGUAGCUCAUGGAGCUCUUCUUGCAAUGAAAUCCCAAGCAGCAUCAAUAUUGAAAGGCAGUUUUUCCCUGUGUGGAGAAGGAUGAGGCUUAGC